RNAcentral lists this long non-coding RNA (925 nucleotides) under Equus asinus (donkey). Its description in RNAcentral is "lncRNA (ENSEASG00005032806.1)". Lineage: Eukaryota; Metazoa; Chordata; Mammalia; Perissodactyla; Equidae. The record is from RNAcentral.
CUGGUGGAAGGGUGGAGGAAGCUGUUUGGAAUCUCUUUUAUAAAGUUUACAUGUGGGACGCCUACCACAGCAUGGCUGCCAAGCAGUGCCAUGUCCGCACCCGGGAUCUGAACCAGCGAACCCCAGGCCGCCGAGAAGCGGAAUGUGCGAACUUAACCGCUGCACCACUGGGCCGGCCCCUUAUUUAUUUAUUUUUAAGAAAUUGUGCAGACUAAUUCAAGGAUGGAAAAUGCAUAGCACUUGUGCUACCACUCUACCUGCACAUCCCUGUGGCACAUAUUGACAGUUGAUAGCAAACUCAUUCUCAUUCAGCCUGAACUCAGCCUCCGAUUCCUUCUUAACACAGAAUUCCAGGCAUUCACUAUCAAUCAGUUGUAGUUGUCACAAAGUGGACAUAUUUGAAAUAAAUGCUUUUAGGAAAAAUGUCACAGAAUAAUAUGGUUCUAGAGUUGGUGAAUAAGGAAGAAAUUUUUGUCUCUCUCUGCAAAAUAAAAAUAUCUUUUGGGAAUUGUUCUAAGGUAAUUAGUUGUGUGAAGUCGAUUAUGUUUAUAGUCUUAAAAAGUAUAUUUUCCUAUGCUUUUUUUACCUUAAAAUCCAAAUUAUCAAAGUAGAUUCAUUUCUUUUUUCUUUUUUAAAUUGGCACCUGAGCUAACAACUGUUGCCCAUCUUCUUUUUUUUUUCCCUGCUUUUUUCUCCCCAAAUCCCCCCAGUACAUAGUUGUAUAUUUCAGUUGUGGGUCCUUCUAGUUGUGGGAUGUGGGACACCGCCUCAACAUGGCCUGAUGAGCGGUGCCAUGUCCGCGCCCAGGAUGUGAACCCUGGGCCGCCAAAGCAGAGCAUGCGAACUUAACCACUCGGCCACGGGGCCGGCCCCUAGAUUCAUUUCUCAUAUAAAAAUUUAUUUCUAUCAUGUAGCUCAGUGGCUA